Molecule: ribosomal RNA, 468 nt
Filed under: uncultured bacterium
Lineage: Bacteria
Description: partial 16S ribosomal RNA
Rfam family: Bacterial small subunit ribosomal RNA
Source: RNAcentral
GACGAACGCUGGCGGCGUGCUUAACACAUGCAAGUCGAACGGAAAGGCCCUGCUUUUGUGGGGUGCUCGAGUGGCGAACGGGUGAGUAACACGUGAGUAACCUGCCCUUGACUUUGGGAUAACUUCAGGAAACUGGGGCUAAUACCGGAUAGGAGCUCCUGCUGCAUGGUGGGGGUGGGAAAGUUUCGGCGGUUGGGGAUGGACUCGCGGCUUAUCAGCUUGUUGGUGGGGUAGUGGCUUACCAAGGCUUUGACGGGUAGCCGGCCUGAGAGGGUGACCGGCCACAUUGGGACUGAGAUACGGCCCAGACUCCUACGGGCGGCAGCAGUGGGGAAUAUUGCACAAUGGGCGGAAGCCUGAUGCAGCAACGCCGCGUGCGGGAUGACGGCCUUCGGGUUGUAAACCGCUUUCGCCUGUGACGAAGCGUGAGUGACGGUAAUGGGUAAAGAAGCACCGGCUAACUACGUG